UACGUAGGGUGCAAGCGUUGCCCGGAUUUAUUGGGCGUAAAGGGCGCGUAGGCGGGUGCUCAAGUCCGUGGUGAAAUCCUCCGGCUCAACCGGAGAACUGCCUCGGAUACUGGGCGUCUCGAGUGUGGUAGGGGUAUGCGGAACUAUCGGUGGAGCGGUGAAAUGCGUUGAUAUCGAUAGGAACUCCGGUGGCGAAGGCGGCAUACUGGACCACCACUGACGCUGAUGCGCGAAAGCCAGGGGAGCAAACGGG
This 253-nucleotide ribosomal RNA is filed under the name uncultured bacterium. RNAcentral describes it as "partial 16S ribosomal RNA". It matches the Rfam family "Bacterial small subunit ribosomal RNA", at positions 524 to 776 of the family's 1533-position model. The record is from RNAcentral.